AAGGUAUAUCCUGCCCUAUGGAUUUUCUAAAUGGCUGCAGUAUUUUGACUGUACAAAGGUAGCAUAGUAAUUAGUUUCUUAAUUAGGAACUUGUAUGAAUGGAUUUAUGAGAUAUAUAUUUUAUUUAUUUAAAUAUUAAAAUUUUAAUUUUAGGUUAAAAUGCCUAAUAGACUUCUUGGGACGAUAAGACCCUAUAGAACUUUAUAUUUCUAUAAAAUAUUUCUUUUAAGUUUUAUAUUAAAUUUUUUAUUGUAAUAUUUUGCUGGGGUGGUUAGUAAAUUUUAACUUUACUUUAAUUUUUCAUAGAUGUAUGUUAUUUUUGAUCCUUUAUUAAGAUUAUAAGAAGAAGUUACCUUAGGGAUAACAGCGUAAUUUUGGUGGGGAGUUCAUAUCUAUACUAAUUUUGCGACCUCGAUGUUGAAUUAAGAAAAAUCUAAGAAGCAGAAUUCUUAGCUUUAAGUCUGUUCGA
RNAcentral lists this ribosomal RNA (469 nucleotides) under Doratura gravis. Its description in RNAcentral is "partial large subunit ribosomal RNA". Lineage: Eukaryota; Metazoa; Arthropoda; Insecta; Hemiptera; Cicadellidae. The record is from RNAcentral.